UACGUACGAGGCGAGCGUUAUCCGGAAUUACUGGGCGUAAAGCGCGCGCAGGUGGCUUGGUAAGUGAGAUGUGAGAUCUCCCGGCCUAACUGGGAGGGGACAUUUCAGACUGGCAGGCUUGAGGACAGCAGAGGUAGGUGGAAUUCCUGGUGUAGCGGUGAAAUGCGCAGAUAUCAGGAGGAACACCGGUGGCGAAGGCGGGGCUCUGGGCCGAUACUGACGCUGAGGAGCGAAAGCGUGGGGAGCGAACAGG
This 253-nucleotide ribosomal RNA is filed under the name uncultured bacterium. RNAcentral's name for it is "partial 16S ribosomal RNA". It matches the Rfam family "Bacterial small subunit ribosomal RNA", at positions 524 to 776 of the family's 1533-position model. The record is from RNAcentral.